RNAcentral lists this ribosomal RNA (52 nucleotides) under Paeonia lactiflora (Chinese peony). Its description in RNAcentral is "partial 5.8S ribosomal RNA". The record is from RNAcentral. Lineage: Eukaryota; Viridiplantae; Streptophyta; Magnoliopsida; Saxifragales; Paeoniaceae.
CGCAAGUUGCGCCCAAAGCCUUUAGGCUGAGGGCACGUCUGCCUGGGCGUCA